RNAcentral lists this ribosomal RNA (429 nucleotides) under Pseudomonadota bacterium. RNAcentral's name for it is "Proteobacteria bacterium partial 16S ribosomal RNA". It matches the Rfam family "Bacterial small subunit ribosomal RNA", at positions 355 to 776 of the family's 1533-position model. Lineage: Bacteria; Pseudomonadati; Pseudomonadota. The record is from RNAcentral.
UGGGGAAUAUUGGACACUGUGCGAAAGCCUGAUCCAGCCAUGCCGCGUGUGUGAAGAAGGUCUUCGGAUUGUAAAGCACUUUAAGUUGGGAGGAAGGGCAGUAAGCGAAUACCUUGCUGUUUUGACGUUACCGACAGAAUAAGCACAGGCUAACUCUGUGCCAGCAGCCGCGGUAAUACAGAGGGUGCAAGCGUUAAUCGGAAUUACUGGGCGUAAAGCGCGCGUAGGUGGUUCGUUAAGUUGUAUGUGAAAGCCCCGGGCUCAACCUGGGAACUGCAUCCAAAACUGGCGAGCUAGAGUAGGGCAGAGGGUGGUGGAAUUUCCUGUGUAGCGGUGAAAUGCGUAGAUAUAGGAAGAAACACCAGUGGCGAAGGCGACCACCUGGGCUCAUACUGACACUGAGGUGCGAAAGCGUGAGGAGCAAACAGG